RNAcentral lists this RNase P RNA (376 nucleotides) under Alcanivorax sp. Its description in RNAcentral is "RNase P RNA component class A". It matches the Rfam family "Bacterial RNase P class A". From Rfam's summary of the family: Ribonuclease P (RNase P) is a ubiquitous endoribonuclease, found in archaea, bacteria and eukarya as well as chloroplasts and mitochondria. Its best characterised activity is the generation of mature 5'-ends of tRNAs by cleaving the 5'-leader elements of precursor-tRNAs. RNAcentral also lists the same sequence under 1 other name. The record is from RNAcentral. Lineage: Bacteria; Pseudomonadati; Pseudomonadota; Gammaproteobacteria; Oceanospirillales; Alcanivoracaceae.
CGGAUCGGUCAGACAGUCGCUGGCAGCGCCUUUCUAGGAAGGGGAUGCUGGAGGAAAGUCCGGGCUCCGCAGGGCAGGGUGCCAGGUAACGCCUGGGGGCUACACUGGUGACGGUGUGGCUACGGCUAGUGCCACAGAGAAGAUACCGCCUGUUCCACCUUGGGUGAUCAGGUAAGGGUGAAAAGGUGCGGUAAGAGCGCACCGCGCCGCUGGUAACAGUGGUGGCAGGGUAAACCCCACCCGGAGCAAGACCAAAUAGGGAUCCUAUGGCGUGGCCCGCGCUGGAUCCGGGUAGGUUGCUAGAGGCUGGUGGCGACGCCAGCCCCAGAUGAAUGACUGUCCACGACAGAACCCGGCUUAUCGACCGAUCCACCUU